Molecule: ribosomal RNA, 1258 nt
Filed under: metagenome
Description: bacterial LSU rRNA
Rfam family: Bacterial large subunit ribosomal RNA
Source: RNAcentral
CGAUACGACCGUACCGCAAACCGACACUGGUGCGCGGGAUGAGUAUUCUAAGGCGCUUGAGAGAACUCAGGAGAAGGAACUCGGCAAAUUGACACCGUAACUUCGGAAGAAGGUGUGCCCUAUUAGUGUGAAGUGAACAACGGAGCAUGAAUGGGUUGCAAAAAAUCGGUGGCUGCGACUGUUUAUUAAAAACACAGCACUCUGCAAACACGAAAGUGGACGUAUAGGGUGUGACGCCUGCCCGGUGCUGGAAGAUUAAAUGAUGGGGUGCAAGCUCUUGAUUGAAGUCCCAGUAAACGGCGGCCGUAACUAUAACGGUCCUAAGGUAGCGAAAUUCCUUGUCGGGUAAGUUCCGACCUGCACGAAUGGCGUAACGAUGGCCACACUGUCUCCUCCUGAGACUCAGCGAAGUUGAAAUGUUUGUGAUGAUGCAAUCUCCCCGCGGAAAGACGGAAAGACCCCAUGAACCUUUACUGUAGCUUUGUAUUGGACUUUGAACAGAUCUGUGUAGGAUAGGUGGGAGGCUUUGAAGCAGGGUCGCUAGAUCUUGUGGAGCCAACGUUGAAAUACCACCCCUGUGUGUUUGAGGUUCUAACCUAGGUCCAUUAUCUGGAUCGGGGACAGUGCAUGGUAGGCAGUUUGACUGGGGCGGUCUCCUCCCAAAGCGUAACGGAGGAGUUCGAAGGUACGCUAGUUACGGUCGGACAUCGUGACGAUAGUGCAAUGGCAUAAGCGUGCUUAACUGCGAGACUGACAAGUCGAGCAGAUGCGAAAGCAGGACAUAGUGAUCCGGUGGUUCUGUAUGGAAGGGCCAUCGCUCAACGGAUAAAAGGUACUCUGGGGAUAACAGGCUGAUACCGCCCAAGAGUUCAUAUCGACGGCGGUGUUUGGCACCUCGAUGUCGGCUCAUCUCAUCCUGGGGCUGUAGCCGGUCCCAAGGGUAUGGCUGUUCGCCAUUUAAAGAGGUACGUGAGCUGGGUUUAAAACGUCGUGAGACAGUUUGGUCCCUAUCUUCCGUGGGCGCUGCAGAUUUGAGGAAGCCUGCUCCUAGUACGAGAGGACCGGAGUGGACACACCUCUGGUGUAUCGGUUGUCACGCCAGUGGCAUUGCCGAGUAGCUAAGUGUGGAAGAGAUAACCGCUGAAAGCAUCUAAGCGGGAAACUCGUUUCAAGAUGAGAUCUGCCGGGGCCUUGAGCCCCCUGAAGAGUCGUUCAAGACCAGGACGUUGAUAGGUCAGGUGUGGAAGCGAGAAAAAAA